UACGAAGGGGGCUAGCGUUGUUCGGAAUCACUGGGCGUAAAGCGCACGUAGGCGGAUGUGUCAGUCAGGGGUGAAAUCCCGGGGCUCAACCUCGGAACUGCCUUUGAUACAGCACGUCUCGAGUCCGGAAGAGGUGGGUGGAAUUCCUAGUGUAGAGGUGAAAUUCGUAGAUAUUAGGAAGAACACCGGUGGCGAAGGCGGCCCACUGGUCCGGUACUGACGCUGAGGUGCGAAAGCGUGGGGAGCAAACAGG
This 253-nucleotide ribosomal RNA is filed under the name uncultured bacterium. Its description in RNAcentral is "partial 16S ribosomal RNA". It matches the Rfam family "Bacterial small subunit ribosomal RNA", at positions 524 to 776 of the family's 1533-position model. The record is from RNAcentral.